Molecule: long non-coding RNA, 1174 nt
Filed under: Homo sapiens (human)
Lineage: Eukaryota; Metazoa; Chordata; Mammalia; Primates; Hominidae
Description: small nucleolar RNA host gene 17, transcript variant 30 (SNHG17)
Source: RNAcentral
AGUCCUUCGCCGUCCCUCGCCGUCCUUCGCCAUCGCACGCCACCGCACCCCAUCUCUCGAAAUCUGCAGACAUCUUGAUUUUUCCCACGCUGUCUGUCAGGUCUCCGCCGCCACUCGACGCCAGGGCGCCGGGCCUUGUGGGCUGUGCUGCACCUCGGACGGCUUCGCACCAGCCAGCGCCCUCUCUCUCCUGCAGCACUCUGAUCUGCACCCCCUGAGGGGCUUCCACUGUCCGCGGGGUGAGAAUGCCCCUGGGAGUGUCACAUGACUGCCGCCCCAUGUGUGUGAGAGGCGUCCUCUGGGAGAGCAUGGAUCCUGAGGUCCCAGGAACAUCCCGAGAGCCAAGUUCCCAGAUGCCAGCCAAGGGCCAUCUGACCUGUUUUGAAUCUCAAUUUCCUGAUACAGAAAACAAAGGAUUGUCAGCUGACCUCUGUCCUGUGUGCCCAGUGGCCCCAGGUGACGUGUCUUCAAGAAGAGGCUGAGCUGCGGUGCUUGUAAGGGUCUCAUUCUGUCACCCAGGCUGGAGUGCAGUGGUGCAAUGAUGGCUCACUGCAGCCUCGACCUGGGCUCAAGUGAUCCUCCACCUCAGCUUCCUGAGUAGCUGGGACCACAGAGUCAUGUGCUGUUCCUGGGGCUUGGAUGAUGUAGGGGAAGCAAGGUGAAAGUGGUAUCCCGUGGUUCCACGUUCUGUCCUGCUGUGGGGCUGUCCCUCACAUGCUUUCAGUGGCUGUUGCAGAGGAAGAGCCUCCGGAAAUCUGCGUGGGUAAAGUCUCAGCCUUAGAUCCAAGGACAGUCCAAGGAAGUCCUAAGACCAUGGAGUUGGUGAUCUGGGAUCUGGGUUUGCUGAUAUUUCUCACCGUGAAUCUCUUGGUGGUGUUUGUGGGCACGAGAGGGGCAGAGAAUGGAGAGUGAGGCUACCACAUGAAGCGUCACCAGAGCUGCUCCCUGCUGCCUGCUCAGAGCACCCCGGAUCCACUGUUCAAUCUGCACAAGAUUCGGGGUCCAGACAUGGGAGACUUCAGCUGCCUCAGAGGACCGUGGACAGGGAAGGCCAGCCUCGCAUCCCUCUGUCCAUGCCUGGAAUGACUUUAAUAACCAAGAGUUUUAUUUUUGAAUUUGUAGCUGUCGUUCACUUUUUACCCACCCAUUCAAUAAACCUUACAGAAUUGCUCCA